RNAcentral lists this ribosomal RNA (324 nucleotides) under uncultured eukaryote. RNAcentral's name for it is "partial 18S ribosomal RNA". It matches the Rfam family "Eukaryotic small subunit ribosomal RNA", at positions 1470 to 1796 of the family's 1831-position model. The record is from RNAcentral.
CCCUUAGAUGUUCUGGGCCGCACGCGCGCUACACUGAUGCAUUCAACGAGCACCCGCUGGGCCGAGAGGUCCGGCUAAUCUUUGAACGUGCAUCGUGCUGGGGAUAGAUGAUUGCAAUUAUUCAUCUUCAACGAGGAAUUCCUAGUAAACGCAAGUCAUCAGCUUGCAUUGAUUACGUCCCUGCCCUUUGUACACACCGCCCGUCGCACCUACCGAUUGAAUGGUCCGGUGAAAUUCUCGGACGCGGACUUGCGAUGUUAAUUCGGAGCUUGACUGUGAAAGUUAAUUAAACCUUACCAUUGAGAGGAAGGUGAAGUCGUAACA